Molecule: ribosomal RNA, 322 nt
Filed under: uncultured eukaryote
Lineage: Eukaryota
Description: partial 18S ribosomal RNA
Rfam family: Eukaryotic small subunit ribosomal RNA
Source: RNAcentral
CCCUUAGAUGUUCUGGGCCGCACGCGCGCUACACUGAUGCAUUCAACGAGUUUUUCCUGGUCCGAGAGGAAUGGGUAACCUUUUGAAAGUGCAUCGUGCUAGGGAUAGACUAUUGCAAUUAUUGGUCUUCAACGAGGAAUUCCUAGUAGACGUAGUUCAUCAGACUGCAUCGAUUACGUCCCUGCCCUUUGUACACACCGCCCGUCGCUCCUACCGAUUGGAUGAUCCGGUGAGCUAUUCGGACCUUCGCUUCGUCGAUUUUCGGCUUUGUGAGGGAAAGUCUCUCGAACCUUAUCAUCUAGAGGAAGGAGAAGUCGUAACA